RNAcentral lists this ribosomal RNA (498 nucleotides) under uncultured bacterium. RNAcentral describes it as "partial 16S ribosomal RNA". It matches the Rfam family "Bacterial small subunit ribosomal RNA", at positions 30 to 523 of the family's 1533-position model. The record is from RNAcentral.
AUUGAACGCUGGCGGCAUGCUUUACACAUGCAAGUCGAACGGUAACAGGUCUUCGGAUGCUGACGAGUGGCGAACGGGUGAGUAAUACAUCGGAACGUGCCUAGUAGUGGGGGAUAACUACUCGAAAGAGUAGCUAAUACCGCAUGAGAUCUACGGAUGAAAGCAGGGGACCUUCGGGCCUUGUGCUACUAGAGCGGCUGAUGGCAGAUUAGGUAGUUGGUGGGGUAAAGGCUUACCAAGCCUGCGAUCUGUAGCUGGUCUGAGAGGACGACCAGCCACACUGGGACUGGGACACGGCCCAGACUCCUACGGGAGGCAGCAGUGGGGAAUUUUGGACAAUGGGCGAAAGCCUGAUCCAGCAAUGCCGCGUGCAGGAUGAAGGCCCUCGGGUUGUAAACUGCUUUUGUACGGAACGAGAAGCCUGGGGCUAAUAUCCCCGGGUCAUGACGGUACCGUAAGAAUAAGCACCGGCUAACUACGUGCCAGCCGCCGCGGUAA